Molecule: ribosomal RNA, 486 nt
Filed under: uncultured bacterium
Lineage: Bacteria
Description: partial 16S ribosomal RNA
Rfam family: Bacterial small subunit ribosomal RNA
Source: RNAcentral
AUUGAACGCUGGCGGCAUGCCUUACACAUGCAAGUCGAACGGCAGCACGGGUGCUUGCCCCUGGUGGCGAGUGGCGAACGGGUGAGUAAUACAUCGGAACAUGUCCUGUAGUGGGGGAUAGCCCGGCGAAAGCCGGAUUACUACCGCAUACGAUCUACGGAUGAAAGCGGGGGACCUUCGGGCCUCGCGCUUUAGGGUUGGCCGAUGGCUGAUUAGCUAGUUGGUGGGGUAAAGGCCUACCAAGGCGACGAUCAGUAGCUGGUCUGAGAGGACGACCAGCCACACUGGGACUGAGACACGGCCCAGACUCCUACGGGAGGCAGCAGUGGGGAAUUUUGGACAAUGGGCGAAAGCCUGAUCCAGCAAUGCCGCGUGUGUGAAGAAGGCCUUCGGGUUGUAAAGCACUGUUGUCCGGAAAGAAAUCCUUGGCCCUAAUACGGUCGGGGGAUGACGGUACCGGAAGAAUAAGCACCGGCUAACUACGUG